Long non-coding RNA from Oryzias melastigma (Indian medaka), 240 nucleotides. RefSeq lists it as uncharacterized. The transcript is spliced from 2 exons. The record is from RefSeq and is a predicted model, not a curated record. Lineage: Eukaryota; Metazoa; Chordata; Actinopteri; Beloniformes; Adrianichthyidae.
AGGAAAGUGUGUUUUCCCAUCACCCUUCAGUUGUCCAACCGUUCUGGAUGAAUGGGAUUCCUCACCAAUAUAUGAAAGAAGAUCCACAUCGAUGUGGGAGAUGACUUUGAAAACGAUGCCCUAUGAAAUGUAGAUUAUCAGCCAGAGGUUUGGGAUGGAGAAGUAGCACAGACAUGUCUGCUGGCCAAGUGCACCAUGGGAUUUCUGCAGGGGGGGAAGCAGAAAAUAGCAAAAAAAAAA